CGCGUACACAAGCGUUAAGGAAGUUUUACGAAUUUGUCAACUUAUUUAUGUACAUAUUCAUUCUUUUACAUUAUUUGAGCAUCAUCUGUGUGACAUUGUUUUUAUUAAGUUUUGCAAUGUCAGCUGAGCAAUAGAAAGAAGAAAACACACGUGUUUGGACACACAUAAAGUGGAAAGUUGAAGUCAUAAUAAUGGUGGGACUUUCUGAGGCUUUUAAGCAGUUGGCCACAAGAGACUAUCCGACCAACGCAGAGAGGCAGCAGUUAUGCAAUGGAAAAAGACGAGGGAAAGCUGGACCCAACAGGAGGACGGGGGGAAGGAAAGAGGAGAGCAUUAUUAAAUGAAUGGAAAACAGUACGUUGGGAAAACUAGCCACUUUAAAAUAAGUAACACAAAAGCAGAGCAGUGGGCCAGGCCUGUGGUCCACGGCGCUGCUCUGGGAAAAAGUGAUUCGGCGCCUGGAAAGAGAGGUUAUGUCAUCCGCCCCACGUGAUGAGGUGUUGUGCUCCGCUGCCAUGGCGACAGUGGAAGAUGAUCAGCAGAAUAGAUGUGAGGUAGUAACCGUCUGAACCGUUUAAAUUGAAACACUACAGAGGUUUUCUGUUUCUCCUCGGACGAUGACGACAAACACAGAAAAUCACUUGAGUGUUGCUGAUAGAUUACAGCUAGUCAGAUUACUGGCAUUUAGGUGAUGCGUCAACGAAGCGCCAAUUGUUUAUAUACUGACGUUCCUUUUGUUUUUUGUGGAAUGUAAGGUGCAAAACUUCCUUCAUAAUCUGUCCUGUUCCAUCGUCAUGUUGCCAUUUUGUUUAAAUGACCCUCUGCUCCAGGUCAGCGUGGCUCCUGCAGGGUUUGUUUUGCAUGAAGCAACCCAUCUCACAGCAACCUUCCUUUUAAAAGGCCUCUUGUCAUUGCUGGUGUAAACCUUAGUUGGAACUUUGGCUUUGUGUCCUCAUCCUGCUUCUGAGAAUUUCACACUCGAGUAAGUAGAGGGCAUAAUUUCGUAUUAUUUUUCUGUGUAGGUGCCCGUUAUUUAAUUAACUUUGAUACCUGAGGGACAUGGAGAAUCGUUGUAUCUUUCCAAACUCACAGUUUCACAAUCAUAUUUGUGUUAGCCAGUGACCAGCCAGGUUCCUGAGGUUCAUGGAAAGCAGGCAGGUUGCCGAUCUUCACCUCAGGGAAAGUUUCUAAUCUGGUAGUGAGCUGGCACAGAUUCCAGCCCAGCCACUUCACCAUUGGAGCCAUCACAGCUCACCACUGCUUUGAUGUGAUACAGACUUAUAGUGAUUUACUCCGAUUUUUUUUAUUUCUAGCCAAGGCUGGAGACCUAGCUUUGCUCAGCAUCAAGGCUGCCUCCAUCUAUAAUUGUACAAUGUCCUCACUGAUUGGAAAUGUACAUACAUAACUUCUAAAAGUGGAUGGAAAUAGUAUCGAAUAAUAUUUUGUUCAUUGUGCACAUCUGUGCAGUCUACCUGGCCAAAUAACCAGCUCACUGGUGGAUGAACACAGGUUUUGGUUUUGUUUAAGGCGGUGAGCCAACUAAACCUGUCAGCCUCGAUGUGACAUCCCUCAGACCACAAACCACCAACUGUCAUUUGCAUGAACUAAACAAUAAGUCUUAUGCUAAGCUAGCCUAGGCUAACCACAUCCUCAAUUCCAUCUUAUUGUUUUGCUAAUAAGCCUCACAGAUGUUAUCUACCUAAAUCAAAUCGGCAGGAAAUGGUUUUGACAUUGGUUAUAGUUGGGAUUAAAAACGUUACAUACACCAGUCUGGAACACGAUACAGUACUGUUCUUUGGCUAAAAUAAAAAUAAAAUAAAAUACAAAGUCUUACACUUCAGUGGAGCCUUGUAUCUACAGGUGCACAUAUCAUUCAUGGACAGAGCCUGAAAACCUUUGCACAAUACACAAUACCUGUAAACAUGUGGACAGCCGCUGCCUGUUGUUAUUAUUUCCUCUCACCUCAACUGGUCAGGGCAGAUAGCCGCCCACUGACCCAGAUUCUACUGGGGGGUUCGUCUGGUAAAGGGAUGCGCUCCUCUCCACGGUCUCCUUCUGAUGCUCAUUAGUGUCUUUUCAGCUUUUCUAUAUAGUUCUGGUUUUAAGGAAGAUGUGGAUCUUCAGAAAUAAACAUUCAUAAACUGUUAUAGUCUAUUACUUUUGUUUUCCACUGUUUAUUAUGGGGGCCUAUUUAGAUGUCCAGCAUACACAUGAAUUUCAAAAUGUAAAGCUACAUCUGUCCCCCAGACUGGCCUUCCAGAUCGUGCCCCCUGCCGCCAUGUUGCAGUUACAGCCGGGUUUGGCCAGGGGACGCCACAGGAGCACCAAAGCGCUGCAUCAGUGGGUCUGGAGUUGAACUUGCUCCGGACACAUGACCUAUCUGCAGGUUGUUUCUUACUUCAACUUUAUUUACUGUGUGUGAUUAGUACAUGUGACAGACAAGUGACUAGAUUCAGAUCUGCAUGUAGUCAGAAUAUUUUAGAGUGGGGACAUAUUUCUAAUUCAUGAGGAGCAAAACAUCUUCAAAGCAUCGUUGAAGAACAUGAGAAAUUAAACAUUUUUAAAUUAAAAGGAUUGCAUUUGCAGAGAUUAAAAAAAGUCAAUGCAUGAAUAGAAAGAAUAUAAAAUAUUCAAAUAAAAUAGAUUGCUUUUGUUGACAGCUUCUAAUGGCUGCUUUGUGAAAUACAAACACAAAAACAAAUGUCCGCUUGUCAUUUCAUUAGCGGGAUUAUCUUCGAAGGUCGUCAACACAUACAACUUGUUUUUCGCCACUAGUUGCCAAACAGUUUUAACACAUUUACGCAACAAAGAAAA
Molecule: long non-coding RNA, 2814 nt
Organism: Betta splendens (Siamese fighting fish)
Lineage: Eukaryota; Metazoa; Chordata; Actinopteri; Anabantiformes; Osphronemidae
Exons: 3
Source: RefSeq, a predicted model, not a curated record